RNAcentral lists this ribosomal RNA (73 nucleotides) under Clostridium botulinum C. Its description in RNAcentral is "partial 16S ribosomal RNA". It matches the Rfam family "Bacterial small subunit ribosomal RNA", at positions 1 to 71 of the family's 1533-position model. The record is from RNAcentral. Lineage: Bacteria; Bacillati; Bacillota; Clostridia; Eubacteriales; Clostridiaceae.
UUUAAAUUGAGAGUUUGAUCCUGGCUCAGGACGAACGCUGGCGGCGUGCCUAACACAUGCAAGUCGAGCGAUG